This 1684-nucleotide ribosomal RNA is filed under the name Sirembo imberbis (golden cusk). Its description in RNAcentral is "16S ribosomal RNA". The stretch from base 109 to 1567 matches the Rfam family "Bacterial large subunit ribosomal RNA". Lineage: Eukaryota; Metazoa; Chordata; Actinopteri; Ophidiiformes; Ophidiidae. The record is from RNAcentral.
CGCCUAAAAGCUAGCCUAGACCCCAAGAGUAACAACUAAACAUGAAUAGCCUUAAAAAACCCGACCAUACACACAACAAACCAUUUUCCCGCCCAAGUAUAGGAGAUAGAAAAGGACCAAAAUAGAGCAACAGAUAAAGUACCGCAAGGGAACGCUGAAAGAGAAAUGAAACAACCCAUAAAAGCCCAAAGAAGCAGAGAUUAACCCUCGUACCUUUUGCAUCAUGUUUUAGCCAGCAACACCCAAGCAAAGCGUACUAUAGUUUGACCCCCCGAAACUAGGUGAGCUACUUCAAGGCAGCCCGCGGGGGCACACCCGUCUCUGUGGCAAAAGAGUGGGAAGACCUUCAAGUAGAGGUGACAGACCAACCGAACCUAGUUAUAGCUGGUUGCCCAGGAAAUGAAUAGAAGUUCAGCCUCCUAGCUUCUCCACUCCCCGAUGUUUACCCACUUUGAUCAAAAGAAGCUACGAGAGUUAGUCAAAGGAGGUACAGCUCCCUUGAAUAAGAAACAACUUUAGAAGGAGGGUAAAGAUCAUAAUAACAAAAGACACUAUAUUUAGGUGGGCCUAAAAGCAGCCACCCUCACAGAAAGCGUUAAAGCUCAAAUAUAAUACAGUCUAUUAUCCUGAUAACCACAUCUUAGCCCCCUAUCCAUACUGGGCCUUCCCAUUCUUAUAUGGGAGUGACCAUGCUAAUAUGAGUAAUAAGAGAACACCGAUUCUCUCCCAGCACACGUGUACGUCGGAACGGACAAACCGCCGACUAUUAACGACCCCAGCCAAAGAGGGCAUUGAAUAGCAAGUAAGUAUAACUAGAAAAACACUCAACAAUUAACGUUAACCCCACACUGGUGUGCCAAUCCGGAAAGACUAAUUAGAAAGGAAGGAACUCGGCAAACAAAAGCCUCGCCUGUUUACCAAAAACAUCGCCUCUUGCAAAGACAAAGAAUAAGAGGUCCCGCCUGCCCUGUGACUAUAAGUUUAACGGCCGCGGUAUUUUGACCGUGCAAAGGUAGCGCAAUCACUUGUCUCUUAAAUGGAGACCUGUAUGAAUGGCACGACGAGGGCUUAACUGUCUCCCUUUUUAAGUCAAUGAAAUUGAUCUCCCCGUGCAGAAGCGGGGAUAGACAUAUAAGACGAGAAGACCCUAUGGAGCUUUAGACACUAAGACAGCCCAUGUUAAACACCCCGACCACAGGACUAAACUAAUUGGCAUCUGCCCUACUGUCUUUGGUUGGGGCGACCACGGGGGAAAACACAGCCCCCACGCGGAACGGGAGGUCUCCCUCCUAAAACCAAGAGUAACAACUCUAAGAAACAGAACUUCUGACCAAUUUGAUCCGGCAAAGCCGAUCAACGAACCGAGUUACCCUAGGGAUAACAGCGCAAUCCCCUUCUAGAGUCCAUAUCGACAAGGGGGUUUACGACCUCGAUGUUGGAUCAGGACAUCCUAAUGGUGCAGCCGCUAUUAAGGGUUCGUUUGUUCAACGAUUAAAGUCCUACGUGAUCUGAGUUCAGACCGGAGUAAUCCAGGUCAGUUUCUAUCUAUAAACAUAAUCUUUUUCUAGUACGAAAGGACCGAAAAAGGGAGGCCCAUGCUGCAAGUACGCCCCACCCCCACCUUCUGAGAACAACUAAAGACAGGCAAGGGGGUAUAUCUGAUACAUGCCAAAGAGAACGGCUU